CCCGCUGAACUUAAGCAUAUCAAUAAGCGGAGGAAAAGAAACCAACAGGGAUUACCCUAGUAACGGCGAGUGAAGCGGUAACAGCUCAAAUUUGAAAUCUAACCUUCACGGGUUCGAGUUGUAAUUUGUAGAGGAUGUUUCGGAUAAGGCUUUGGUUUAAGUUUCUUGGAACAGAACGUCAUAGAGGGUGAGAGUCCCGUCUAGAACCGAUAGCCGCUUCCAUGUGAAACUUCUUUCGACGAGUCGAGUUGUUUGGGAAUGCAGCUCAAAAUGGGUGGUAAAUUUCAUCUAAAGCUAAAUAUUGGCCAGAGACCGAUAGCGCACAAGUAGAGUGAUCGAAAGAUGAAAAGCACUUUGAAAAGAGAGUUAAACAGUAUGUGAAAUUGUUGAAAGGGAAGCGCUUGCAACCAGACUUGUGUUUAAUGGUUCCCUCUGAUCUUUUUGAUCGAGCUAUUCCGUUAUAUCCAGGCCAGCAUCGGUUCAAGUGGUUGGUUAAAGAUUUUAGGAAUGUAUCUACCUUCGGGUCGACUUAUAGCCUAGAAUGUAAUGCAACCUAUUUGGACCAGAGAACGCGCUUUUUUGCUCUGAUGCUGGCAUAAUGGUUGUGAGCGGCCCGUCUUGAAACACGG
This 629-nucleotide ribosomal RNA is filed under the name uncultured fungus. Its description in RNAcentral is "eukaryotic LSU rRNA". It matches the Rfam family "Eukaryotic large subunit ribosomal RNA", at positions 24 to 664 of the family's 3401-position model. The record is from RNAcentral. Lineage: Eukaryota; Fungi.